ACCAGUGUGGUGUAGCGGUUUGAGCAUCGGACUAUGACUCUGGGUACCAGGGUUCAAAUCCUUGCUCAGCUA
Phrynosoma platyrhinos (Desert horned lizard) is the source of this 72-nucleotide non-coding RNA. The record is from the annotation of a GenBank genome assembly. NCBI's taxonomy places the organism in Eukaryota, Metazoa, Chordata, Lepidosauria, Squamata, Phrynosomatidae.